CUCAACAAUAAGCAAGGAAAGAAAAAUUACAGACACCCUGGUGUGGUGGCUAGAACACUCAGGCCCACCGACACCGAAGGCAAUGAGGCAGUUUAACAGCGCCCAAGCUAAACCAGUAUUAUUGUUAAUAAAUAACCACAAACAAAAACAACAAAAAUUACACCAGCAACAAAGUACAGCUGAUAUGCAACACAGCAGAGACGAGGCACGUAAAGACAGACCAAGCAACCCAACCAAAGCAGAGCCAGUAAGCGAAUCAGCCAUGCAAAAUGCCCGUAAGGAAAGCAGUCAAGCAAAACAAUAAAGAAAACGACGGUCAAGCAAAACAGAGGAGUCACAUGUAGCGUCUUCAGCUAGGGAUUUGUCUUAAAGAUCCUGAACGCCGCACUCUUACAUUAACAAAGAUCGGAGAGUCAACCUAAAUCUACCGAGUCCUAAUGUGAGAAACGGAGAGGUGUACUUACCACUGUGUUGAACAAACACCAGACGCGAAGUUGUACGAUUACUCCGAUACCGCGGUUCAAUAUUCAUAUUUAUAUACAGCCACCAGAUAAUGUUGCUCUCACUGAACGCGAUCUACACCAUGAUCUCGCCACAGCACAUGCUCCCCACUAUAUAGCGCUAUAUUUAUAUUUAUUUAUUUUUAUAUUAUAUAUCUAUAUAAAAAAAAUUUUUAGCCUUGAGAUGUUCACCUCAUUACACCGUGAGACAGGCCUUGAUCAGGGCCAAUAGCAUAGUUAACUUACUUAUCCUGCCACAUUCUACCCCUUUUUAUUUGAAUCGGCGUCCCGACGAUGACCCAACGAACACACCCCUGGACUCUUUUGGGCUUGCAUCCCGCCGCCUAAACCAAACCAAAAUUCUAUUUACAUGUAGGGCCUGGUAUAGUGAGUGCUCUCAUGCCCCCCUCCUCCACGGCCCGUGGUAGAUGGUACAGGUUUGAUUGGUGGCCUGCAGUGGCCCGCCCCCUUCUGCGCAAGGGGAUGUUAUCCGUACAUGACCGUACCAUUACCCUAACCCUUAUACAGGGCACAAAGCUGCCGUACCAGGGAGGGCUCAAAAGUUACAGCCCUGGUCUGAAUGAAUACGCCCAGGAAUACUGAACUUAUAAAACC
Ictalurus punctatus (channel catfish) is the source of this 1115-nucleotide long non-coding RNA. The record is from Ensembl. Lineage: Eukaryota; Metazoa; Chordata; Actinopteri; Siluriformes; Ictaluridae.